This 152-nucleotide ribosomal RNA is filed under the name uncultured bacterium. RNAcentral's name for it is "partial 16S ribosomal RNA". It matches the Rfam family "Bacterial small subunit ribosomal RNA", at positions 355 to 524 of the family's 1533-position model. The record is from RNAcentral.
UGGGGAAUAUUGCACAAUGGGGGAAACCCUGAUGCAGCGACGCCGCGUGAAGGAUGAAGUAUUUCGGUAUGUAAACUUCUAUCAGCAGGGAAGAAAAUGACGGUACCUGACUAAGAAGCCCCGGCUAACUACGUGCCAGCAGCCGCGUGACU